This 253-nucleotide ribosomal RNA is filed under the name uncultured bacterium. RNAcentral describes it as "partial 16S ribosomal RNA". It matches the Rfam family "Bacterial small subunit ribosomal RNA", at positions 524 to 776 of the family's 1533-position model. The record is from RNAcentral.
GACGAAGGUGGCUAGCGUUGCUCGGAAUUACUGGGCAUAAAGCGCGCGUAGGUGGUUCUGUAAGCGAGGGAUGAAAUCCCAUGGCUCACCCAUGGAACUGUCUCUCGAACUGCAGGGCUUGAGGACGGGAGGGGAGAGUGGAAUUCCCGGUGUAGCGGUGAAAUGCGUAGAUAUCGGGAGGAACGCCGGUGGCGAAAGCGACUCUCUGGCCCGUUUUUGACACUGAGGCGCGAAAGCUAGGGGAGCAAACAGG